GGGGUGGCAGGCGAUACGGGCAUAACUAGAGUGCUGUAGGGGAGACUGGAAUUCCUGGUGUAGCGGUGGAAUGCGCAGAUAUCAGGAGGAACACCGAUGGCGAAGGCAGGUCUCUGGGCAGUAACUGACGCUGAGGAGCGAAAGCAUGGGGAGCGAACAGGAUUAGAUACCCUGGUAGUCCAUGCUGUAAACGGUGGGCGUUAGGUGUGGGGACCGGUUUGGUUUCUGUGCCGUAGCUAACGCAUUAAGCGCCCCGCCUGGGGAGUACGGCCGCAAGGCUAAAACUCAGAGGAAUUGACGGGGGCCCGCACAAGCGGCGGAGCAUGUGGAUUAAUUCGAUGCAACGCGAAGAACCUUACCUGGGUUUGACAUGCACCAGACGGUUGUAGAGAUACGUACCUCCCUUUGUGGUUGGUGUGCAGGUGGUGCAUGGUUGUCGUCAGCUCGUGUCGUGAGAUGUUGGGUUAAGUCCCGCAACGAGCGCAACCCUUGUCUUAUGUUGCCAGCACGUUUUUGGGUGGGGACUCAUGAGAGACUGCCGGGGUUAACUCGGAGGAAGGUGGGGAUGACGUCAAAUCAUCAUGCCCUUUAUGCCCAGGGCUUCACACAUGCUACAAUGGUUAGUACAACGCGCUGCGAACCUGUGAGGGUGAGCGAAUCGCUGAAAGCUAAUCUCAGUUCGGAUUGGGGUCUGCAACUCGACCCCAUGAAGUCGGAGUCGCUAGUAAUCGCAGAUCAGCAAUGCUGCGGUGAAUACGUUCCCGGGCCUUGUACACACCGCCCGUCACGUCAUGAAAGUUGGUAACACCCGAAGCCCAUGGCCUAANC
RNAcentral lists this ribosomal RNA (828 nucleotides) under uncultured bacterium. RNAcentral describes it as "bacterial SSU rRNA". It matches the Rfam family "Bacterial small subunit ribosomal RNA", at positions 617 to 1440 of the family's 1533-position model. The record is from RNAcentral.